CUGGCUCAGAACGAACGCUGGCGGCGCGUCUUAAGCAUGCAAGUCGAACGGCAAGAGGUAGCAAUACCUCCUAGAGUGGCGGACUGGUGAGUAACACGUGGGUGACAUACCCUUCAGAUGGGGAUAGCUAUUAGAAAUAGUAGAUAAUACCGAAUACGAGCACAGGGGUUAGAGAUCUGUGAGGAAAGGAGCUAAGGCUCCGCUGAAGGAAUGGCCUGCGGCCCAUUAGCUAGUUGGUGAGGUAAGAGCCCACCAAGGCGAUGAUGGGUAUCCGGCCUUAGAGGGUGAACGGACACAUUGGGACUGAGAUACGGCCCAGACUCCUACGGGAGGCAGCAGCUAAGAAUAUUCCGCAAUGGACGAAAGUCUGACGGAGCGACGCCGCGUGGAUGAAGAAGGCCGGAAGGUUGUAAAAAUCCUUUUGAAACUGAAGAAUAAGCGUUGUAGGGAAUGACAGCGUGGUGACAGUAGGUUUUGAAUAAGCAACGGCUAAUUACGUGCCAGCCGCCGC
This 511-nucleotide ribosomal RNA is filed under the name uncultured bacterium. RNAcentral's name for it is "bacterial SSU rRNA". It matches the Rfam family "Bacterial small subunit ribosomal RNA", at positions 19 to 518 of the family's 1533-position model. The record is from RNAcentral.